UGGGGAGUCGCCAAGUGGUAAGGCAUCGGAUUUUGAUUCCGACAUUCGUAGGUUCGAUCCCUACCUCCCCAG
Molecule: non-coding RNA, 72 nt
Organism: Thiobacillus sp. SCN 63-57
Lineage: Bacteria; Pseudomonadati; Pseudomonadota; Betaproteobacteria; Nitrosomonadales; Thiobacillaceae
Source: Rfam